GACGAACGCUGGCGGCGUGCUUAACACAUGCAAGUCGAGCGGUAAGGCCCUUUCGGGGGUACGACGAGCGGCGAACGGGUGAGUAACACGUGGGUGACCUGCCCUCAGCUCUGGGAUAAGCCUGGGAAACCGGGUCUAAUACCGGAUAUGACUCCAUGACGCAUGUUGUGGGGUGGAAAGCCUUGUGCGGCUGAGGAUGGGCCCGCGGCCUAUCAGCUUGUUGGUGGGGUGAUGGCCUACCAAGGCGACGACGGGUAGCCGGCCUGAGAGGGCGACCGGCCACACUGGGACUGAGACACGGCCCAGACUCCUACGGGAGGCAGCAGUGAGGAAUAUUGCGCAAUGGGCGAAAGCCUGACGCAGCGACGCCGCGUGGGGA
RNAcentral lists this ribosomal RNA (379 nucleotides) under uncultured bacterium. RNAcentral's name for it is "bacterial SSU rRNA". It matches the Rfam family "Bacterial small subunit ribosomal RNA", at positions 28 to 407 of the family's 1533-position model. The record is from RNAcentral.